AAGGGCACCACAAGAACGCGUGGAGCAUGUGGCUUAAUUUGACUCAACGCGGGAAAUCUUACCGGGUCCGGACACACUGAGGAUUGACAGGCAAUAUUAAUUUCGUAUUUCGGUACGUUAUUAUGUUAAAUAUGCUAGUCCUUUCAUGAUUAUGUGAUAGGUGGUGCAUGGCCGUUCUUAGUUCGUGGAGUGAUCUGUCUGCUUAAUUGCGUUUCACUAAGGGCCUAUAAAUUUACGUGUGUUGCGGCACUUUGACCCCUCUGUUCUGCAGAGCGCGCGUCUUAGUUUGCUUAGCUCACACAAUUAGGUCCUGAAAGCAACGAACGUGACCGCAACCUCUUGUUGCCUUUAUACCAAACAUGGUUAUAUCCUUUCGAGGGUUUCCAUGAAAAAAGGCUCUUUAAACUAGAGGGACCGCUGUUACUUUCUUAAACCAGAGGAAGGUUGCGGCAAUAACAGGUCUGUGAUGCCCUUAGAUGUUCCGGGCUGCACACGUGCUACAAUGAUUAUUGCAGUGAGCAUCUCAUUUUUUACACACCGCAUACGCGAGUCCAUUUAUUCACCUUCGGGUGCUUUAAAUGUGCACCUCUGCGAGCGGUAAAGCCUGCUUCGAAAGUAAGUGGGUAAUCAAUUAGAAGUAAUGAUUUCCUUUUUUUUAGCACACAUAUAUACGGCGUUUAUACCCGGGCUGCCUUGUUGUAGCUUUUGUGCGUAUAGAUGUUUUUUCCGUAUGUGCGAUUGUCAAUUCAUGGUGGGGACAGACCAUUGUUAAUUGUUGGUCUCGGUCUUAACUAGGAAUGCCUUGUACGGGUCUUUGGUUCAACAAACCACCCGGAAUACGUCCCUGCCCUUUGUACACACCGCCCGUCGCUCUUACCGAUGGACUUCUCUGUGAGUUUGAGGGACUGGGAACGCAGAUUUUAUCUGCACGCCUAUGGAAACUUAAACGAACAGUGUGGUCUAAAGGAAAGAGAAGUCGAACAAGGCA
This 988-nucleotide ribosomal RNA is filed under the name Epistominella sp. Its description in RNAcentral is "SSU rRNA". It matches the Rfam family "Eukaryotic small subunit ribosomal RNA", at positions 1160 to 1801 of the family's 1831-position model. Lineage: Eukaryota; Foraminifera; Rotaliida; Pseudoparrellidae. The record is from RNAcentral.